Teleopsis dalmanni is the source of this 615-nucleotide long non-coding RNA. RefSeq lists it as uncharacterized. The record is from RefSeq and is a predicted model, not a curated record. NCBI's taxonomy places the organism in Eukaryota, Metazoa, Arthropoda, Insecta, Diptera, Diopsidae. The transcript has 2 exons.
UAUAAUAAUUAAAUAUUUAUUUAUAUUACAUACAAUGUUCCAACCUUAUUUUGAAACGUUUGAAGCACAAUAUACGUAACUUACAGAUGGAGUCUAUGGAAGAAACUAAGUGACCUCGAUAGCUUGGGUUUUGUAACGGUCUAUCACACCAAGUCAAUGUAUUUAACAUUAAUUAUGAUUUAGAAUAUCAUAUGAAUAACAUAAAAGACCUAAUAACAUCUGAAGAUUGGAAGAGUACGUUAAUAAGGUUAUGGAUAAGCGAUUGUGGGAUCCAAAUGUGACGUGUGUUAAUCUUUAAAACAUACAAGACACAUAUAUUUAUCAACAAGUGCUUACGUACGGUUCUAAAGUCAAUAAAUAUUAUUAAAAAGCGCUUUGACAUGGCAAUCCGUUUAUAUAUACUAUACAACUAUAAACGAGAUAUGCACACACCAUUAUACUUUAGAACCAAAAGAAUAGUCCAUGUCCGUUCUAUAAACAUGCUCCAAAUAAUCAAACGGAACAGUUUUAUCUGGAGGUAUAUAUUGAAAUAUCACUCAUACGUCACGUCAAGCGCAUGUAUGCGAAGCUCUACAAACGUUUUCAUAUAUGAAAAAAUUAAGCACUUCAAUAGAA